RNAcentral lists this unclassified non-coding RNA (304 nucleotides) under Hevea brasiliensis (rubber tree). Lineage: Eukaryota; Viridiplantae; Streptophyta; Magnoliopsida; Malpighiales; Euphorbiaceae. The record is from RNAcentral.
AUUGGUGUAAGAGAAUGAAAUUGUCAAAGAUAGAUUUAUUUUACAAACUGGUAGUCAUUUUCCAUUAUCAAUUGGUUGAAUUGUAACUGCAUGAUAUCAUAAAUGCUUUUUGAGAGGUAGGAUUCUCAGAUGUUGAAAUUUUCAGGUCUGCAACUUAGUUGCUUCUUAUAAAACUUUACCUCUGUUGUCUUCAUUGUAAUCUUUUUCCAAUUAUUUAUGAUUUGUGGUUCACUAGGUUAAACUUUAUUGAUCGGCAUCUGUUUGAUAGCUCAGAAAAUGAAAGAAAAAUUGCUAAAUACUAUAA